AAUGGAGAACAUUUACAGAGGACUGUGGGUAAAGCAAAGUCUUCAAGGGAAGAUAACAAAGGAUGAAACAAUGGUGUUGUGUGACUUCCUAAGAAAAAUCAAGACAAGACUUUGUUCUAUUUCAUCAAGUCCUUGACGCCUCCUCCCAGCUGGUGUGAAUCAUGGCAAUACAGUGAAAGACAGUGAUUUACUGCUUUUGAGGGCGUGCAUGUAUAUGAUUAACGGAUGGAAGUGCAGGACUCCAAGAUUUACUUCCUUCCCUUUCCAGCAGAAUUACCUGAGACGAGUAAAAUCUACUGGUGGAGUCACUCCAUUAUUCUUAUCUGUGGAGAUCUAGAUCUUGAUUUGAAAGUUUCUGAGAAAAUCUUCAGCUCAGACUUGAGGGUCAACUUUACCAGCUGAAGGAUCUGCAUUUACUGCUCAACCACAUCUAAUUUGAUGUCCUCUGCAGAUUUAAAAUGUGUGCCUUCUUUUCCGUCACCAAGUCAUCCCUGGGUUACUACUGAACAUCCUUCUCAAUUCCCCCCGACCCAUGGAUGGCUGUUCUCCAUUGUCUGUUUCACCAGAUGUCCUCAAAACAAACAGACAGAAGAAGGAAGUGGCUAAUGGAGCUGUGGAGUCCAAGUGUGACUGCCAAGAGGAAUCCAGCAAAGCCAAAAAGCCCAAGCAUGUAGCCCUGCCCGAAGCACGCCACACGCAUGGAAAACCCAGAGGAAAUGAGUGAGGAUCAAUGGGAAGAAGAGAGCCAGCCAGGUUCGAUGCCUUCUCCAUCCGUCAGUGAGGGUGUGGAGAGCCUGCAGGCGUGUGCCUCCCUCUGUAACUUGCUAUUCCUUGUGUAAUGUCAAGUGGAAGUGUGAAGCACCACAAACUGCUCUGAGCAGAGCCCACUUCCCUUCACCCACGGAGAGCGUGAAGCAGUUACACCAACAUCAAUCAAGGAAAACCCACAGGCUGAGCUCACACGGUUGAAGCAGGAAGUUGAAGAUUUGUCCAGGAGCAGAUAGCUGAAGAGAGAGAGAGAGAAGAGAGAACGGCUUACAGCUCAGUUCUGGAGACCAGAAGGCCAAAAUCAAAAGUAUGGGCAGGCUUGAUUUCUUUAGAAGACUCCAGCGGAGAACUGUGUCUCCUUGCUUCUGAUUCUACAUCUCCAUCCAUGGGCCACUGUUUCAGCAACCUCAGCCAGUGCAACACAACCUCAGCCAAGAAGAGUAUGCAGAGAAAGGAGUCCCCUACCUGCCACAAAACUGUUGUCUGAAAACUGUCUCAUAUUGUCUCAAGUUGUCAUUCAUUGUGAAUUAGACCUGUUUAACAUGUAA
Molecule: long non-coding RNA, 1316 nt
Organism: Homo sapiens (human)
Lineage: Eukaryota; Metazoa; Chordata; Mammalia; Primates; Hominidae
Gene: CASC15
Product: cancer susceptibility 15
Source: Ensembl